RNAcentral lists this ribosomal RNA (250 nucleotides) under uncultured bacterium. RNAcentral's name for it is "partial 16S ribosomal RNA". It matches the Rfam family "Bacterial small subunit ribosomal RNA", at positions 528 to 779 of the family's 1533-position model. The record is from RNAcentral.
CGAAGGGCUAGCGUUGCUCGGAAUGACUGGGCGUAAAGGGCGCGUAGGCGGAUGUUUAGUCAGGCGUGAAAUUCCCGGGCUUAACCUGGGGCUGCGUUUGAUACGGGGCAUCUGGAGUGGGGAAGAGGGUCGUGGAAUUCCCAGUGUAGAGGUGAAAUUCGUAGAUAUUGGGAAGAACACCGGUGGCGAAGGCGGCGACCUGGUCCUUGACUGACGCUAAGGCGCGAAAGCGUGGGGAGCAAACAGGAUU